UCCAGAGUGACCGAAGAGCUAUUGGUGGUGGAAUCACUUCCUUCAGCUCGUUUGCUCAACUUCCGCUUGUCCACAAAAAUUGCCCAUUUGCUUUUUACAUCCUACUGGUGUUUAACCUGGAGUCUUUUGCUAUUUUACGAAGAGUAUUGAAACAUGUCUCUCUGGAGUCAAAUAUUUCAUUUCAGACACCUCCCUUUAUGAUGUCAAUCUAAGGGCUGAGCUAAGGGAAAUAAAUGUGAUUAUUUAAACAUAAGGAUCAUUGAAGUCUUGUGUUCGUGACCCAUAAGAUGACCAGAUGCUUGGAAUAGAGCUUGCUUUAUUUCUUUUCUGUUACUUAGAACUUUUCAAUUAUCAAUGAAAGAACUAACAUAAACAUGUAAAAAUGUUCCCUUUAUCUUUUACAGUAGGUGGCCAAGGAGCUAGAUCACAAAGUAAAGAAUAAGGUUAUGCAUUGAAGACUGUCUAUAUAAAAUAUAAAUGCAAUCAUAAGUAGGAGCAUAAGUUGAAACAGCAAUAUUUUAAUAUAGAAAAUGGAGUAGAACAAACUACAGACUUAAACCUAGG
This 564-nucleotide long non-coding RNA is filed under the name Homo sapiens (human). RNAcentral's name for it is "HSALNT0297148". Lineage: Eukaryota; Metazoa; Chordata; Mammalia; Primates; Hominidae. The record is from RNAcentral.